AAAAAAACGAUGACGGAGAAGAGUAAACAAAAAUAUGCUUUCAGAGAAUGGGGAUUUGGUGGGAACCCAUAAGCUACAGUUGUUGAAAAUCACUCCUAAGUUGCAGACUGAACUUUAUAUAAAGUAAGUUAUGCCGGCACAGCCGUUAUAUAUACGAGUAAUAAUUUGGGUGGUACAGCGACAGACCUUCGCCCCAUUG
Molecule: non-coding RNA, 199 nt
Filed under: Clostridium autoethanogenum
Lineage: Bacteria; Bacillati; Bacillota; Clostridia; Eubacteriales; Clostridiaceae
Description: T-box sequence
Rfam family: T-box leader
About the family: Uncharged tRNA acts as the effector for transcription antitermination of genes in the T-box leader family.
Source: RNAcentral